UGCAGAAAGGGGCUCCCAUUUUCUGAGUGAGAAACUUCUGUAACAUCCAGCUGAAGACUACCUUUGAUAGAUUUGAUGUUUCUAGGGAACAAGGACUGUCGCCAGAAUGUUUUCUGCCCCUCACUCAGUUCUGGUCAUCUUCUUAAUACUUGGAGGGACCGAUGGUGACUCAGUGAACCAGACAGAAGGCCCAGUGAGUGCCUUAGAGGGGGCUCUCAUGACCCUGAACUGCACUUACCAGACCACAUAUUCAACUUCCUAUCUUUUCUGGUAUGUCCAGCAUCACAACAAAGCUCCUCAGCUCCUCCUGAAGGGCUCAACAGCAGACAAGAGGGUAGAGCAUGAAGGUUUUCAGGCCACUCUUGAUAAGAGGGGCAGCUCCUUCCACCUGCAGAAACAGGCAGUGCAAGCAUCAGACUUGGCUGUGUACUACUGUGCUCUGAGGGACACAGUGAUGGAGGGCUGCAGGGGGAGCUGAGCGCAAACCCAGAUGCAGAUGGGGCUCCAGCUGUGGGCAGACCCAGAAGAAGGUGUUGUUUCUCUCUCAGAGGUGCUGUCAAAGCACUUCCA
Cervus elaphus (red deer) is the source of this 570-nucleotide non-coding RNA. The record is from the annotation of a RefSeq genome assembly. NCBI's taxonomy places the organism in Eukaryota, Metazoa, Chordata, Mammalia, Artiodactyla, Cervidae.